UACGUAGGGUGCGAGCGUUGUCCGGAAUUAUUGGGCGUAAAGAGCGUGUAGGCGGCCAGGUAGGUCGGUUGUGAAAACUGGAGGCUCAACCUUCAGAGGUCGACCGAAACCAUCUGGCUAGAGUCCGGGAGAGGAGAGUGGAAUUCCUGGUGUAGCGGUGAAAUGCGCAGAUAUCAGGAAGAACACCCGUGGCGAAAGCGGCUCUCUGGAACGGUACUGACGCUGAGACGCGAAAGCGUAGGGAGCGAACAGG
RNAcentral lists this ribosomal RNA (253 nucleotides) under uncultured bacterium. RNAcentral's name for it is "partial 16S ribosomal RNA". It matches the Rfam family "Bacterial small subunit ribosomal RNA", at positions 524 to 776 of the family's 1533-position model. The record is from RNAcentral.